CAUAUUAGGAACCAGUUGAGGUUGAUAGAUCUCCUGGUCGCUAAAAUCAAAAUACCCAUCUUUGUGCACCUUUUUUAUGUCUCUGGUGGCUAGUUCGCAAGAGAAGUCUCUUAUUUGGAGGAUCUCGUCUAGUUCAUUUUGAUCCAUCGGACAAAUGAAUGAAGCCACCAAUGGUUGGCUAUAACACACUUUUUGCCGUCCAAAAUAUCUGUCUAACAUUGAUUUGUGUAAAAUACAUAAAA
RNAcentral lists this unclassified non-coding RNA (242 nucleotides) under soil metagenome. RNAcentral's name for it is "partial internal transcribed spacer 1". The record is from RNAcentral.